This 572-nucleotide ribosomal RNA is filed under the name uncultured fungus. Its description in RNAcentral is "eukaryotic LSU rRNA". The stretch from base 184 to 337 matches the Rfam family "5.8S ribosomal RNA". Lineage: Eukaryota; Fungi. The record is from RNAcentral.
UUUUGGGAAGAAAAAAUCGUAACAAGGUUUCCGUAGGUGAACCUGCGGAAGGAUCAUUAGUGAUUGCCUUUAUAGGCUUAUAACUAUAUCCACUUACACCUGUGAACUGUUCUACUACUUGACGCAAGUCGAGUAUUUUUACAAACAAUGUGUAAUGAACGUCGUUUUAUUAUAACAAAAUAAAACUUUCAACAACGGAUCUCUUGGCUCUCGCAUCGAUGAAGAACGCAGCGAAUUGCGAUAAGUAAUGUGAAUUGCAGAAUUCAGUGAAUCAUCGAAUCUUUGAACGCAGCUUGCGCUCUCUGGUAUUCCGGAGAGCAUGCCUGUUUCAGUGUCAUGAAAUCUCAACCACUAGGGUUUCCUAAUGGAUUGGAUUUGGGCGUCUGCGAUCUCUGAUCGCUCGCCUUAAAAGAGUUAGCAAGUUUGACAUUAAUGUCUGGUGUAAUAAGUUUCACUGGGUCCAUUGUGUUGAAGCGUGCUUCUAAUCGUCCGCAAGGACAAUUACUUUGACUCUGGCCUGAAAUCAGGUAGGACUACCCGCUGAACUUAAGCAUAUCAAAAGCGGGAGGAAA